Molecule: ribosomal RNA, 253 nt
Filed under: uncultured bacterium
Lineage: Bacteria
Description: partial 16S ribosomal RNA
Rfam family: Bacterial small subunit ribosomal RNA
Source: RNAcentral
UACGUAGGGUGCAAGCGUUGUCCGGAAUUAUUGGGCGUAAAGAGCUUGUAGGCGGUUUGUCGCGUCUGCUGUGAAAUUUCGGGGCUCAACCCCGAACUUGCAGUGGGUACGGGCAGACUAGAGUGUGGUAGGGGAGACUGGAAUUCCCGGUGUAGUGGUGAAAUGCGUAGAUAUCGGGAGGAACACCAGUGGCGAAGGCGACUUCCUGGCCUGUUCUUGACGCUGAGGCGCGAAAGCUAGGGGAGCAAACGGG